Molecule: ribosomal RNA, 497 nt
Filed under: uncultured bacterium
Lineage: Bacteria
Description: partial 16S ribosomal RNA
Rfam family: Bacterial small subunit ribosomal RNA
Source: RNAcentral
GAUGAACGCUGGCGGCGUGCCUAAUACAUGCAAGUCGAGCGAACAGACGAGGAGCUUGCUCCUCUGACGUUAGCGGCGGACGGGUGAGUAACACGUGGAUAACCUACCUAUAAGACUGGGAUAACUUCGGGAAACCGGAGCUAAUACCGGAUAACAUGUUGAACCGCAUGGUUUAACAGUGAAAGACGGUCUUGCUGUCACUUAUAGAUGGAUCCGCGCCGCAUUAGCUAGUUGGUAAGGUAACGGCUUACCAAGGCAACGAUGCGUAGCCGACCUGAGAGGGUGAUCGGCCACACUGGAACUGAGACACGGUCCAGACUCCUACGGGAGGCAGCAGUAGGGAAUCUUCCGAAAAGGGCGAAAGCCUGACGGAGCAACGCCGCGUGAGUGAAGAAGGUCUUCGGAUCGUAAAACUCUGUUAUUAGGGAAGAACAAAUGUGUAAGUAACUAUGCACGUCUUGACGGUACCUAAUCAGAAAGCCACGGCUAACUACGUG